Molecule: ribosomal RNA, 292 nt
Filed under: uncultured bacterium
Lineage: Bacteria
Description: partial 16S ribosomal RNA
Rfam family: Bacterial small subunit ribosomal RNA
Source: RNAcentral
GUGCCAGCAGCCGCGGUAAUACGGAGGAUGCGAGCGUUAUCCGGAUUCAUUGGGUUUAAAGGGUGCGUAGGCGGCUUCUUAAGUCAGUGGUGAAAUCCUGCGGCUCAACCGUAGAACUGCCAUUGAUACUGAUAAGCUUGAAUAUAGUUGAGGUAGGCGGAAUGAGUAGUGUAGCGGUGAAAUGCUUAGAUAUUACUCAGAACACCGAUUGCGAAGGCAGCUUACCAAGUUAUAAUUGACGCUGAGGCACGAAAGCGUGGGGAUCAAACAGGAUUAGAAACCCCCGUAGUCC